GCCCGUGUGGCUCAGUGGUAGAGCACACCCUUGGUAAGGGUGAGGUCACGAGUUCGAUCCUCGUCACGGGCU
Transfer RNA from Oscillatoriales cyanobacterium, 72 nucleotides. It matches the Rfam family "tRNA". Rfam says of the family: Transfer RNA (tRNA) molecules are approximately 80 nucleotides in length. Their secondary structure includes four short double-helical elements and three loops (D, anti-codon, and T loops). The record is from Rfam. Lineage: Bacteria; Bacillati; Cyanobacteriota; Cyanophyceae; Oscillatoriales.